This 497-nucleotide ribosomal RNA is filed under the name uncultured bacterium. RNAcentral's name for it is "partial 16S ribosomal RNA". It matches the Rfam family "Bacterial small subunit ribosomal RNA", at positions 28 to 507 of the family's 1533-position model. The record is from RNAcentral.
GAUGAACGCUGGCGGCGUGCCUAAUACAUGCAAGUCGAGCGAACAGACGAGGCGCUUGCUCCUCUGACGUUAGCGGCGGACGGGUGAGUAACACGUGGAUACCCUACCUAUAAGACUGGGAUAACUUCGGGAAACCGGAGCUAAUACCGGAUAAUAUAUUGAACCGCAUGGUUCAAUAGUGAAAGACGGUUUUGCUGUCACUUAUAGCUGGAUCCGCGCCGCAUUAGCUAGUUGGUAAGGUAACGGCUUACCAAGGCAACGAUGCGUAGCCGACCUGAGAGGGUGAUCGGCCACACUGGAACUGAGACACGGUCCAGACUCCUACGGGAGGCAGCAGUAGGGAAUCUUCCGCAAUGGGCGAAAGCCUGACGGAGCAACGCCGCGUGAGUGAUGAAGGUCUUCGGAUCGUAAAACUCUGUUAUUAGGGAAGAACAAAUGUGUAAGUAACUAUGCACGUCUUGACGGUACCUAAUCAGAAAGCCACGGCUAACUACGUG